This 75-nucleotide transfer RNA is filed under the name Candidatus Nomurabacteria bacterium. RNAcentral's name for it is "tRNA-OTHER". It matches the Rfam family "tRNA". Rfam says of the family: Transfer RNA (tRNA) molecules are approximately 80 nucleotides in length. RNAcentral also lists the same sequence under 1 other name. Lineage: Bacteria; Candidatus Nomuraibacteriota. The record is from RNAcentral.
CAGGGUGUAGCUUAGUUGGUAAAGCGCACGGCUGGGGUCGUGAGAGCGGAGGUUCAAGUCCUCUCACCCUGACCA